This 468-nucleotide ribosomal RNA is filed under the name uncultured bacterium. RNAcentral describes it as "partial 16S ribosomal RNA". It matches the Rfam family "Bacterial small subunit ribosomal RNA", at positions 28 to 507 of the family's 1533-position model. The record is from RNAcentral.
GACGAACGCUGGCGGCGUGCUUAACACAUGCAAGUCGAACGGAAAGGCCCUGCUUUUGUGGGGUGCUCGAGUGGCGAACGGGUGAGUAACACGUGAGUAACCUGCCCUUGACUGUGGGAUAAUUUAAGGAAACUGGGGCUAAUACCGGAUAGGAGCUCCUGAUGCAUGGUGGGGGUUGGAAAGUUUCGGCGGUUGGGGAUGGACUCGCGGCGGAUCAGCUUGUUGGUGGGGUAGUGGCUUACCAAGGCUUUGACGGGUAGCCGGCCUGAGAGGGUGACCGGCCACAUUGGGACUGAGAUACGUCCCAGACUCCUACGGGAGGCAGCAGUGGGGAAUAUUGCACAAUGGGCGGAAGCCUGAUGCAGCAACGCCGCGUGCGGGAUGACGGCCUUCGGGUUGUAAACCGCUUUCGCCUGUGACGAAGCGUGAGUGACGGUAAUGGGUAAAUAAGCACCGGCUAACUACGUG